Eubalaena glacialis (North Atlantic right whale) is the source of this 109-nucleotide small nuclear RNA. Lineage: Eukaryota; Metazoa; Chordata; Mammalia; Artiodactyla; Balaenidae. The record is from RefSeq and is a predicted model, not a curated record.
UUUCCACAGAAAAUAUACUAAAAUAUACUAAAAUUAGAAUGACAGCAGAAGACUAGCAUGGUCCCUGUGUAAGGCUGAUACACACAUUCAAGAAGUACUCCAGGGGCUU